Molecule: ribosomal RNA, 460 nt
Filed under: uncultured bacterium
Lineage: Bacteria
Description: partial 16S ribosomal RNA
Rfam family: Bacterial small subunit ribosomal RNA
Source: RNAcentral
CCUACGGGAGGCAGCAGUGAGGAAUAUUGGUCAAUGGUCGGGAGACUGAACCAGCCAAGCCGCGUGAGGGAGGAAGGUACAGAGUAUCGUAAACCUCUUUUGUCAGGGAACAAAGGCGGGGACGUGUCCCCGGAUGAGUGUACCUGAAGAAAAAGCAUCGGCUAACUCCGUGCCAGCAGCCGCGGUAAUAUGGAGGAUGCGAGCGUUAUCCGGAUUUAUUGGGUUUAAAGGGGGCGCAGGCGGGCUGUUAAGUCAGCGGGGAAAGCCCCGGGCUCAAACCCGGACCGGCGUUUGAAACUGGCAGUCUCGAGUUGGAAAGAGGAAUGCGGAAUGCGCGGUGUAGCGGUGAAAUGCAUAGAUAUAGCGCAGAACUCCGAUUGCGAAGGCAGCAUGCCGGCUCCACACUGACGCUGAGGCACGAAAGCGUGGGUAUCGAACAGGAUUAGAUACCCUGGUAGUC